RNAcentral lists this long non-coding RNA (218 nucleotides) under Olea europaea (common olive). RNAcentral's name for it is "long non-coding RNA (OEUR_LNC002390)". Lineage: Eukaryota; Viridiplantae; Streptophyta; Magnoliopsida; Lamiales; Oleaceae. The record is from RNAcentral.
AACUCUUUUUUGGUACAAUAAUGAUUGUCAAACAGGUUCUAAAUCGAAGCAAACAGUUAGGAAGUUCUGGAUGGAGGAUGCGGAGGCUGUUGCACUGAGAGAUGGACUCAUGUUUUAAAAAGAAGAAUGAAUUUCAAAUUGAAAUGGUUGAAAGUGACUCCCUCAGAGUAGUCCAAAGUCUUGAAUUGAAUUAUUUGUCUUUGAAUUGUAAAUUUCUC